Molecule: ribosomal RNA, 1429 nt
Filed under: bacterium B14(2016)
Lineage: Bacteria
Description: bacterial SSU rRNA
Rfam family: Bacterial small subunit ribosomal RNA
Source: RNAcentral
AGGGGGGGGUGCUUUACACAUGCAAGUCGAACGCUGAAGCCUGGUGCUUGCACCGGGUGGAUGAGUGGCGAACGGGUGAGUAACACGUGAGUAACCUGCCCCUGACUUCGGGAUAAGCCCGGGAAACUGGGUCUAAUACCGGAUACGACUGCCGGACGCAUGUCUGGUGGUGGAAAGUUUUUUCGGUUGGGGAUGGGCUCGCGGCCUAUCAGUUUGUUGGUGAGGUAAUGGCUCACCAAGACGACGACGGGUAGCCGGCCUGAGAGGGCGACCGGCCACACUGGGACUGAGACACGGCCCAGACUCCUACGGGAGGCAGCAGUGGGGAAUAUUGCACAAUGGGGGAAACCCUGAUGCAGCGACGCAGCGUGCGGGAUGACGGCCUUCGGGUUGUAAACCGCUUUCAGCAGGGAAGAAGCGCAAGUGACGGUACCUGCAGAAGAAGUACCGGCUAACUACGUGCCAGCAGCCGCGGUAAUACGUAGGGUACGAGCGUUGUCCGGAAUUAUUGGGCGUAAAGAGCUCGUAGGUGGUUGGUCACGUCUGCUGUGGAAACGCAACGCUUAACGUUGCGCGUGCAGUGGGUACGGGCUGACUAGAGUGCAGUAGGGGAGUCUGGAAUUCCUGGUGUAGCGGUGAAAUGCGCAGAUAUCAGGAGGAACACCGGUGGCGAAGGCGGGACUCUGGGCUGUAACUGACACUGAGGAGCGAAAGCAUGGGGAGCGAACAGGAUUAGAUACCCUGGUAGUCCAUGCCGUAAACGUUGGGCACUAGGUGUGGGGGGCAUUCCACGUUCUCCGCGCCGUAGCUAACGCAUUAAGUGCCCCGCCUGGGGAGUACGGUCGCAAGGCUAAAACUCAAAGGAAUUGACGGGGGCCCGCACAAGCGGCGGAGCAUGCGGAUUAAUUCGAUGCAACGCGAAGAACCUUACCAAGGCUUGACAUACACCGGACCGUCCUGGAAACAGGUCUUCUUCUUUGAAGCUGGUGUACAGGUGGUGCAUGGUUGUCGUCAGCUCGUGUCGUGAGAUGUUGGGUUAAGUCCCGCAACGAGCGCAACCCUCGUUCUAUGUUGCCAGCAUGUGAUGGUGGGAACUCAUAGGAGACUGCCGGGGUCAACUCGGAGGAAGGUGGGGAUGACGUCAAAUCAUCAUGCCCUUUAUGUCUUGGGCUUCACGCAUGCUACAAUGGCUGGUACAGAGAGAGGCGAACCCGUGAGGGCAAGCGAAUCCCUUAAAGCCAGUCUCAGUUCGGAUCGUAGUCUGCAAUUCGACUACGUGAAGUCGGAGUCGCUAGUAAUCGCAGAUCAGCAACGCUGCGGUGAAUACGUUCCCGGGCCUUGUACACACCGCCCGUCAAGUCACGAAAGUCGGUAACACCCGAAGCCGGUGGCCUAACCGUAAGGAGGGGGCCGUUUUAAGGGGGAUUGA